Long non-coding RNA from Sander lucioperca (pikeperch), 241 nucleotides. RefSeq lists it as uncharacterized. The record is from RefSeq and is a predicted model, not a curated record. NCBI's taxonomy places the organism in Eukaryota, Metazoa, Chordata, Actinopteri, Perciformes, Percidae. The transcript is spliced from 3 exons.
UUUGUUUGUAGUGUUCAGUAAGGCACUGAUGCAGAGUACCUCUCCAUGGUGGUCUGCUGCUUGUGCGGUGUUGCAGCUGCAGAUGUUGUUGGACGUUGCUGGUGAAUACGGCUGUGCUCCUAAGGGUGAGCGUGACUAAGGUGGUAAAACAGUUUGUGGUAUUACCAGUCUUGGUGGGGACGACGGUCUUGCAAUAUUUGCAGACGACAUUGGUCUGACUAUGGUCAGACUUAUAAAAUCC